RNAcentral lists this ribosomal RNA (730 nucleotides) under Triticum aestivum (bread wheat). Its description in RNAcentral is "partial small subunit ribosomal RNA". Lineage: Eukaryota; Viridiplantae; Streptophyta; Magnoliopsida; Poales; Poaceae. The record is from RNAcentral.
UGGACGCCGACGGCACGUCCACGGCAUGGAUCUGCCACGCGGCAGCCAUCCAGAGGCCAUCGGCGCCCUAUAGGUCGCCCCCGACUCCCUUGCAAACCCUGGCGCCCUCUUUUCCCCUGCUCUCGUCCCUCUUCUCCCCACAACACGCAACCGCCGCCGCCGUCACCAUAGAUGCCCUCGGCCGCGCGCUCUCCGGCCUCCCCGCGCCCUGGGACCGCAUCCGCCAGCACCACCAGCGUCUGCUACUUCCUCUCCGUCCACAAGUUCGAGCUCGGAGCCCCUCCACCGUCGGGAUCGAGCUCAUCCCCUACCUUCGGUCGCCGCCGUCAACCUCGACGAUCCACCACCCCUGCAGCUCCUAAGCUUCCACCGAGCCAUCGUGCGCUCCUCGAUGUUGGAGCCCAGGAGCCAGACACCACCUUCGACGACGACUGCUACUACACCGGAGGUGCCUACUACUACGUGCAGCCCAUUGACGAUGACCGGGAGUAGUUUAGGACGAUCCCAGACAGGAGGCAUGUGCCUCUUUCGAUCUGUAUCCCAGUUUGUGCUAGCCUUCUUAAGGCAGACUUGUUUAACUUAUGUCUGUACUUAGAUAUUGUUGCUUCCGCUGACUCGUCUAUGAUCGAGCACUUGUAUUCGAGCCUUCGAGGCCCCUGGCUUGUAUUAUGAUGCUUGUAUGACUUAUUUUAUUUUAGAGUUGUGCUGUGAUAUCUUCCAGUGAAUCCCG